UAAUACGGAGGUCCCAAGCGUUGUUCGGAUUUACUGGGCGUAAAGCGUGCGUAGGCGGCGAGGCAAGUUUGGCGUGAAAGCUCCGGGCCCAACCCGGAAAAUGCGCUGGAAACUGCCUCACUAGAGGUAUGGAGGGGAGUCUGGAAUUCCUGGUGUAGCAGUGAAAUGCGUAGAUAUCAGGAGGAACACCAAUGGCGAAGGCAAGACUCUGGACAUAUCCUGACGCUGAGGCACGAAGGCCAGGGGAGCGAAGAGGAUUAGAUACCCUCGUAGUCCUGGCAGUAAACGGUGUGCACUUGCUGUAGGCGGAUUCGACCCCGUCUGUGGCGAAGCUAACGCGUUAAGUGCACCGCCUGGGGAGUACGGCCGCAAGGUUAAAACUCAAAGAAAUUGACGGGGGCCUGCACAAGCGGUGGAGCAUGUGGCUUAAUUCGAUGCAACGCGAAGAACCUUACCUGGGCUUGACAUGUUCGUCAUAGUCUCGUGAAAGCGGGACGUCAGUUCGGCUGGACGAUCACAGGUGCUGCAUGGCUGUCGUCAGCUCGUGUCGUGAGAUGUUGGUUUAAGUACCGCAACGAGCGCAACCCCUAUGUCCUGUUGCCACGGAGAACACGUUUCUCCAGCACUCUGGACAGACUGCCUCAUUUGCAUGAGGAGGAAGGUGGGGAUGACGUCAAGUCAGUAUGGCCCUUACCCCCAGGGCUGCACACGUGCUACAAUGCCCGGCAUAAUGGGAAGCAAAAUCGCGAGAUGGAGCAAAUCCUCAAAACCGGGCCCAGUUCGGAUUGGAGUCUGCAACUCGACUCCAUGAAGUCGGAAUCGCUAGUAACGGCGCAUCAGCUACGGCGCCGUGAAUACGUUCCCAGGCCUUGUACACACCGCCCGUCACAUCAUGAAAGCCGGGAGCACCCGAAGCCUGCGAUUACGUGGUCGAAGGUGAGCUUGGUAAUUGGGAUGAAGUCGUA
Molecule: ribosomal RNA, 965 nt
Filed under: uncultured bacterium
Lineage: Bacteria
Description: bacterial SSU rRNA
Rfam family: Bacterial small subunit ribosomal RNA
Source: RNAcentral